This 207-nucleotide long non-coding RNA is filed under the name Mytilus galloprovincialis (Mediterranean mussel). The record is from RNAcentral. Lineage: Eukaryota; Metazoa; Mollusca; Bivalvia; Mytilida; Mytilidae.
CUGGUUAGUUUUGUGUAGACGAAACGCACGUCUGGCGUAUUAAAUUUUAUCUCGUGUAAGCUAUUAUUCCUGUGUUUCUCUGUCCUAUAUGUUCUCCCAUGUAUUUGUAUUGUAGCCCUGUCAUGUAACGUUGUCAUUUUAAUGUUAUAUUUAACAUUGCUAAAAAGCGGGAGGUUUGGCAUGCCACAAAACCAGGUUCAACCCACC